UCAUCCUCAAGAUUUACAACACGAAAAUGUAGACGUUGUCUUUUUACCAAAGAAUGCAAAUUCCUUAUUACAGCCAUUAGAUCAAGGAAUAAUUUUGACUUUUAAGGCAUUGUAUAUCAAACAAACCUUCAGGUGUAUUUUAGAGCAAAUGGAGAAUGAUGAAUCUCUUACUCUUAUGGAUGUUUGGAAGAAAUUUACAAUCUUAAAUUGUGAUAAGCAUAUUGGACUGUCUAAUACUCAGAUUAAACAAUCAACGCUCAACGCAUGCUGGAAAGCAGUAUGGCCAGAUGCUGUUAAAGAUUGAGAAUGAUAGAUUACCAUUAGAGCAUGAAUAUUCUCAGAUCACUAAUCAGCGUAGGAGUUUGGGAAGAAAAUUAGGUAAUCAUUUUUUACAAUCUAACAUAAAUGUUGAAUGAGCUCUCCGAUUCCAAUGAGAGCUUAGUAAUCAAUAUGAGAAAAAAUCAAUAUGAGGAAGUUGAGAAAGAUUUGAGAAAAAAAACCUAGGCAAUUGUUAACUACGGAUUUCACUCAAAGUCUUGUCAAUCUGAGAUCUUCCCAUUCGUCAACCAUUGAAACAGAAUCUUAUCAAGAAUGCUCAAGUGAUGAAAGUGAUAUCAUACCAAUCAAGAAGAAACACUAAUAGUUUAUGAAAGUGAUGACAGUGAUUAAACUUAUAAUAAUUUUUUUGAAUGAUCUAAUAUUUUCAUAAUGUAAAAUAAAUAAAAUGCAUACUUCUAUUACCUAAAUAUAUUUAUUUUAUGAAAAAGUAUAACUUUAUUUAUUUUAAGAUGUCUUACUUUUGUUUUACGCAAAUAAGUAACUAAAUUAUAUACAUUUAGUGUGUUUUUCAUUUUAUACGGUUUUACAUAGCAAAAUCCAAGAUUUCAAUUUACACGGUUUUGUCCGAAACCUAUCUUCCAUGUAAAUUGAGAGAUAGGCAUAGUUAAUACAUGAAACUCUAAGCGUGUUUUAUAUUCCUUUCUGUUCAGCCUGCAAAAUUUGAUUUCACAUGAGCUGGUGCCCAGAGAUCUUUGUAGAAUUUGAUAGAAGAAUAUCAUUUUCUAAAUUGUGUAGUGUCAGCCAACAGUGAAUGAUGCAGCCCGAGCAAAAUGUAUGUUGUCAGUCAACAAUAAUUGAUGCAAUCCAAACGGAAAGUAUAGUGUUUGUUACCAGUGAUUGGCAUGGUCUGAAUGGAAAGUAUGGUGUUAGUCAUCGAUGAUUGACAUGGUGCUUAAUGUGUUAAGAAAUAGUAUCAUUAUACUUAUAAUUUUCUUUUAAAUGGCCAGGAAAAGAAUUUCUUCUGUUCCAAAUCAAUAAUAUUUGGAGUGGUCACAUCUCAUGAUAUCUGAAGGCAGUUGCACUUAUGUAUAUACAAGUUUUACUUAUUAGAUAUAUUGGGUCAUGCAUAUUCUUAAAUCUGCAGAAACUUGCCAAAAUAUAUUUUGUUAUUAUCUGAUGAAUUAAAAUUAAACAAUAACAAAAUAACAAUAGUAAUUGUACAUUUUACUAAAAAUUCAAAAGCUUACUGCAAAAUCUCUCAGCUCUGUGAGCCAAGAUGAACUAGAGUCUCGUCUUCAUGCUCUAACUGAAAACCUCAUCCAAAAGCAAACCCUUGUUGAAGCACUAAGUACAGAAAAGAAUUCCUUAGUUCUUCAGCUUGAAAGAUUGGAGCAACAACUGCGAGAUGCUCAGAAUUUUGGGAUGCAACAACAUGCAUUUGUUGGUAUUAAUAAUAAUGAAACAGAACUUAAAACAAAAGCCAGUUUCUG
This 1769-nucleotide long non-coding RNA is filed under the name Stegodyphus dumicola. RNAcentral's name for it is "uncharacterized LOC118183505". The record is from RNAcentral. Lineage: Eukaryota; Metazoa; Arthropoda; Arachnida; Araneae; Eresidae.